Long non-coding RNA from Oncorhynchus tshawytscha (Chinook salmon), 8089 nucleotides. NCBI's taxonomy places the organism in Eukaryota, Metazoa, Chordata, Actinopteri, Salmoniformes, Salmonidae. The record is from Ensembl.
CCCCUUUAGAUAGAGCAUCCCCUUUAGAUAGAGCAUCCCCUUUAGAUAGAGCAUCCCCUUUAGAUAGAGCAUCCCCUUUAGAUAGAGCAUCCCCUUUAUCUUCCACCGUAUGAUUCUUUUGGUGGCCCAUAACUCUACUCCACUGUUUGUUUUGCAUUUUCAGAGGCAGCUUUACAAAUGUUGUUGAGGUUGUUGUCGACAUUGAUAAAAUGUUACAGUAUAUUGAAGCUGAUAGGAAAUGAUGGAUUUUGCCUUUUGAGGAUAUUUGAUCUAUUUCAGCUGUAUUUGUGGGGAAUUGACAGAGUAUGGGCGCUGCUCUUAGUAUGAGCCUUGAGUUAGAAAAGGUUUUCUGGUAGAAUGCCCCUAUUCAGCUAUUUAUGCACUUAAAUUACUCAUUUACUUGUUUCCAUUUUGUAUAGCAUAUUAUUGCAACCAGGGUGUGAUUCUGUGAUCUUACAUUGAUUGAUAUGCAGUAUAUCUCAUAUCCUAUAACAGGAUUCCCCACCUGUUGGCCAAAUUCAGCCCGUGGGUGAUUUUAUUUGCCCCCCAUGUUUUUUGAUCAAAAAAUAAUAAUAUAUUUUUAUUUUUGGACAUAAAAAUGUAAAAACACCAGAAAAGCAGCCCCAAAUUAUUUUAAUUUUGGAAAUAUGUUCCAAAGUAUUACCACGCAUAAUAGAGAUACAGUUGAUGUCGGAGGUUUACAUACACCUUAGCCAAAUACAUUUAAACUCAGUUUUUCACAAUUCCUGACAUUUAAUCCUCGUAAAAAUUCCCUGCCUUAGGUUAGUUAGUAUCACCACUUUAUUUUAAGAAUGUGAAAUGUCAGAAUAAUAGUAGAGAGAAUAAUUUAUUUCAACUUUGAUUUCUUUCAUCACAUUCCCAGUGGGUCAGAAGUUUACAUACACUCAAUUGGUAUUUAGUAGCAUUGCCUUUAAAUUGUUUAACUUGGGUCAAACAUCUCAGGUAGCCUUCCACAAGCUUCCCACAAUAUGUUGGGUGAAUUUUGGCCAAUUCCUCCUGACAGAGCUGGUGUAACUGAGUCAGGUUUCUAGGCCUCCUUGCUCGCACACGCCUUUUCAGUUCUGCCCACAAUUUUCUAUUGGAUUGAGGUCAGGGAUUUGUGAUGGCCACUCCAAUACCUUGACUUUGUUGUCCUUAAGCCAUUUUGCCACAAUUUUGGAAAUAUGCUUGGGGUCAUUGUCCAUUUGGAAGACCCAUUUGUGACCAAGCUUUAACUUCAUGACUGAUGUUGCCUCAAUGUAUCCACAUAAUUUUCCUGUCUCAUGAUGCCAUCUAUUUUGUGAAGUGCACCAGUCCCUCCUUGUCAUGCCCUGACCUUAGAGAUCCCUGUUUAUUCUCUAUAUUUUGGUUAGGUGUGACUAGGGUGGGUACUCUAGUUUUUGUAUAUCUAUGUUUUUUUUUCUUUGUUGGCCGGGUAUGGUUCCCAAUCAGAGGCAGCUGUCUAUCGUUGUCUCUGAUUGGGGAUCAUACUUAGGCAGCCCUUUUUCCCACCUUCAGUUGUGGGAUCUUUGUUUGGUUGCAUGUAUUUUUGCACGACAAAGCUUUUCGUUCGGUGUAUUGUUUUUUUUUUGCUGGUUCACAUUUUAAUAAAAUAUGAUGAACUCAAAUCACGCUGCGCCUUGGUCUACCCUUAACGACGAACGUUACAAUCCUGCAGCAAAGCACCCCCACAACAUGAUGAUGCCACCCCCGUGGGUGGGAUGGUGUUCUUCGGCUUGCUAGCCUCCCCCUUUUCCCUCCAAACAUAACGAUGGUCAUUUUGGCCAUACAGUUAUAUUUUUGUUUCAUCGGACCCAAGGACAUUUCUCCAAAAAGUACGAUCUUUGUCCCCAUGUGCAGUUGCCAACCGUAGUCUGGCUUUUUUAUGGCGGUUUUGGAGCAGUGGCUCCUUCUUUUCUGAGUGGCCUUUCAGGUUUUGUCGAUAUAGGACUUGUUUUGCUGUGGAAAUAGAUACUUUUGUACCUGUUUCCUCCAGCAUCUUCACAAGGUCCUUUGCUGUUGUUCUGGGAUUGAUUUGCACUUUUCGCACCAAAGUAAGUUCAUCUCUAGGAGACAGAACGCGUCUCCUUCCUGAGUGGUAUGACGGCUGCGUGGUCCCAUGGUGUUUAUACUUGCGUACUAUUGUUUGGACAGAUGAACGUGGUACCUUCAGGCAUUUGGAAAUUGCUCCCAAGGAUGAACCAGACUUGUGGAGGUCUACAAUUUUUUUCUUAGGUCUAGGCUGAUUUCUUUUGAUUUUCCCAUGAUGUCAAGCAAAGAGGGACUGAGUUUGAAGGUUGGCCUUGAAAUACAUCCACAGGUACACCUGCAAUUGACUCAAAUGAUGUCAAUUAGCCUAUAGGUAGCGUCUAAAGCCAUGACAUCAUUUUCUGGAAUUUUCCAAGCUGUUUAAAGGCACAGUCAACUUAGUGGACAGUAUGUAAACUUCUGACCCACUGGAAUUGUGAUACAGUGACUUAUACGUGAAAUAAUCUGUUUGUAAACAAUUGUUGGAAAAAUUAUUAUUAAAAUCAUGCACAAAGUAGAUGUUCUAACUAACUUGCCAAAACUAUAGUUUGUUAACAAGAAAUCUGUAGAAUGGAUGAAAACUAUUUUUAAUGACUCCAACCUAAGUCAAAUCAAAUCUAAGUUUAUUUGUCACGUGCGCUGAAUACAACAGGUGUAGUAGACCUUACAGUGAAAUGCUUACUUACAGGCUCUUACCAAUAGUGCAAAAAAGGUAUUAGGUGAACAAUAGGUAGGUAAAGAAAUAAAACAACAGUAAAAAGACAGGCUAUAUACAGUAGCCAGGCUAUAAAAGUAGCGAGGCUACAUACAGACACCGGUUAGUCAGGCUGAUUGAGGUAGUAUGUACAUGUAGAUAUGGUUAAAGUGACUAUGCAUAUAUGAUGAACAGAGAGUUGCAGUAGCGUAAAAGAGGGGGUGGUGGGUGGGACACAAUGCAGAUAGCCCUGUUAGCCAAUGUGCGGGAGCACUGGUUAGUCGCCCCAAUUGAGACCGUAUACAAAUGUAAGCAAGGUCUGGAGUUCAUGCGGUCUAUUUGUAGUCUACAAAUUACUUAUAACUAUGUUCCGGCCCCCUGAGCAUCCGCUCAAUGAAGACAUCGGCCACAGCUGAAUCUAUACUGAACAAAAAUAUAAACGCAACAUGCAACAAUUUCAAUGAUUUUAUUGAGUUACAGUUUAUAUAAGGAAAUCAGUCAAUUGAAAUAAAUAAAUUAGGACCUAAUCUAUGAAUUUCACAUGACUGGGCAGGGGCACAGCCAUGGAUGGGCCCACCAAUUUGGGAGCCAGGCCCAGCCAACAAAAAUAUCAAAAAUAAAUCUUAAAUUCAUAAUUCCAAACAGUCGAUUUCUGAGUGGAUAGACUAUUGUAAGUAUCUAAAGCCAGCUAUAUCUGAAUCAGCUGUCUGAGUUCUCCAGAAAAGGGCUUUAUUACCAAUAGAAAUACUCCUCAGUUUCAUCAACUGUCUGGGUGGCUGGUCUCAGACGAUCCCACAGAUGAAGAAGCCGGAAGUGGAGGUUCUGGGCUGGCGUGGUUACACGUGGUGUGCGGUUGUGAGGCCGGUUGGAUGUACUGCCAAAUUCUCUAAAAUGAUGUUGGAGGUGGCUACAGUAGAAAUUAACAUUAAAUUAUCUGGCAACAACUCUGGUGGACAUUCCUGCAGUCAGCAUACCAAUUGCACACUCCCUCAAAACUUGAGACAUCUGUGACAUUGUGUUUUGACAAAACUGCACAUUUUAGAGUGGCCUUUUGUUGUCCUCAGCACAAGGUUCACCUGUGUAAUGAUCAUGUCACACCUGCCAGGUGGAUGGAUUAUCUUGACAAAGGAUAAAUGCUCACUAACAGGUAUGUAAACAAAUUUAUGCACAAAAUUUGAGCAAAAUAAGCUUUUUGUGUGUAUGGACAAUUUCUGGGAUCUUUUAUUUCAGCUCAUGAAACAUGGGACCAACACUUUACAUGUUGCGUUUAUAUUUUUGUUCAGUGUAGUUGAUGAUCUUUGUCCUAUAAGCUAUUGCAGUGGUUAGGAUCAGUUGUGAGAGUAGCUUAAGUCUGAUCCCCCAUGUUGUACAGUAGAGCUGUGAGGCCUCCUGAACAGGUCCUAUCAAGGAUGUGAUGACUUGGUAACUCUGUUGAGGCAGUAUCUACCAAUAUAUGAUUACCAAAACAACUUCCUAUUAACCACCAUCUCCCCUGCUUUUGACUGAAUCUUCAUGGUGAUCAUGCAUUCCAUUAUGACUGGUCAAUAUGGAAAAGGACCAUUAAUGUCACAGGGAUCUGUGGUGUUUCAGAUCAGAUUUUUUCUGCAGUGAUAUCAAUGUAAAAUCUUUCCACUUUCUCUAUCUCUAUGCUGUCUUUACUGGAGUAGGCUAAGGCCAGGAUUCAAUCCGGACUGCAGAAGAUCCACGUUGUAGCGCAGUUUGCAUUUAACAGUAAUUUCCAAUUGAGCCAACAUCUGCAGUGUUUACUUUGAACGCGAUCUCCAUGGCGACACUAACAUGUAUAGCCGAAAAGGGACUAUCUGAUAGAAUCUCAGGCCGAACUCUUACUCAUAAACGUGAUCUCUACACUACUGUUUUAUCAGUGAUACUACAUAAGAUCCCAGUUCCCAUAACCUUUGGCUUUUGAUAUGGAGAUUAUCCAGUGCAUUAAUGUUUGCUGUGGCAAUAAUGCUCUUUAGUGAGUCAGAAGUGCACACGCAAAUUCCUGUGCUUUGAGUCACUGUCUUUUCAAUUGCUGUAUUAUCACCAUCAUCCCUGUUGCAUUCUUUGCUAAACACCACAAAAACCUGCCUUCAGCUAUGUUGGACUGUCUGCAACAUAACACUGAAAAAGCGUACAUAUUUGUUUGGCGACCAUCUGUCAAUGGUCGGUUCUUUCUUGACCAGUUCCAGCUUUUUAGGCCAUUCUCUAUUAUAGUCAUGUGUGUCUGCUCUGAAUAUUCUGAAUCGCUUGUAAUCUGCAUUCCAUUUUGUACAGUUCGUAUAUUUGUCUAAAUUAAUAGUAUGUUCUAUAGUAUAUUCUGUUUCAAACAGGUACUUUAUCAAAAAAUGUGUGACAAAAAUGUGUUAUGGGCCACUGGCAAUAUGUAAAUACAAAUGUAUUAGUGCUAAAAAAACAAAUAUAAUUUAUUUGUGCUUGUUCAUAUCAGUGAGAAUACUAUCACAUUUUUUGGUGGAACUUUCGAACUCGAGAAGAGAUUCCUUUAAAAUGGUAUUUUCUCUAUGAAGAAGGAACUGAUUCAGUCCUAUAUCCCAGCUCACCCUUCUUUCCUAUCUGGUGGAAGGACCAUAGAGGUUAUGACUGACUGAGCGCCGUUUGUCUGUGAGAAGGCCAUAACUUCUUGGUCACCUGGAACAUCGAAGGACCAAAUCCAGCGACCAGGUGAACCAAUGGGGACCAUCAUCAUUUCACCACCCAACCACUCGUCUAUUUCUGGCCUAUUGGUCUUCUUUCAGAUGAAUAACUGUGACUGCAUCAUGAAUAAUAGUAUGUUAUUUUGAAUGUAAGCUCUCGGGAUGGGGGGGAUUGCCACUGGUUAUUUUGUAAAUAUGAAAAAGCAUUUUUUUUUUAUCCCUGUGCAGAUAUGUUUUACUUGCUGGCUGAAUGAUUUUGAGUGAGAGUCAGAGUGUACACGUUCAUACGUUUGUGAGUAUGAUGCCCCUGAGCUGCGGUGUGUGUGUGUGUGUGUUUUUUUUCUCCCAGCAGAUUGUGUCACUGCUUACGUAACAUUCAAUUCUAUCAAUCAAAUCUUUGUGCAUCAUGCGAGUAACUUCUCUGCAGUUAAUGGAAUUGUUCCUUGUAACACUGUGCAUUUAAUAAAGGUGGUAUGUCUUACAAUAAGUUGUCUCCUUUCAGAAUGUCAGUUAUAAUUUACAAUACCAAUCUCAUGCGUUAUGUUCCGUGAAGUUGUGUACAUCUAAAUAAUUUAUAGAACACCAAGCUGAUUGAAUUAUCUGAGAUAUGGGUGUCUUUGUGCAGCUGUUCAAUUGUUAGCAGGUUAUGUGAAAUUGUAAACCGGAUAUGCCAAUAAUAUCUCAUCAAAUCAAUUCACAUUAUAUAUUGCAAGUAGGCUACCGACCUGCAGCAGAAUUCCAUAGCACGCUCCCAAUCUUGUACCCCAGUAGCCUCACCAGAUCCAUGCAUCUCAUAAAUCACAUUGAUUUACUGCUCCUGCUCCACCAUCAGGGCACACCAUAGCAAAAUGUUUUUGCAACAGAAAAGGAGUUACUUGUUCAUAUAGCUGUUCUUUCCAGGGAGGUACUUUCUUACAUUUUGUGCCUACUGAAUAUGACCCAACUCUCUAGUCUAUCUGAUAGACAGGCAGAGUAUCUAAGCCUUGUUGAUUGAUACUUGAUAUGUGCACCCACCAUUGCGUCUGGUGGCUAUUUUAAAAGAGCCAGCCCUCGCAGUUUUAUGAAAGGAUUUCCAAGGUCAAAGUUGGGAUCUAACAAACACAGUUAAGUGACAACGGCAGCUGGCCCGUAGCAAAGGUCCUGAUACACAGUCAAAUCAAAACUAGCAGUGUUCGCUGCACAGGAUGAUGUGGUCCCAGGACAGUUCUUACAUUUCCUCCCCAACUGGUUAUUUGGUAUUUUAUUAGGAUUCCUGGAGUUCACACAAAACAUGAAACAUAAUACAGAAUGACAUAAUACAGAACAUCAUUAGACAAGAAUAGAACUACAUACAUUUUUAAAAGGCACAUGUAGCCUACAUAUACGCACAAACUAUCUAGGUCAAAUAGAGGAGCAUCGCGUUGUGCUGGUUUGCUUUAUCUGGUUUUGAAAUCAGGUUUGCUGUUUAUUUGAGCAAUAUGAGAUGGAAGGAAGCUCCAUGCAAUAAGGGCUCUAUAUAAUACUGUACGCUUUCUUGAAUUUGUUCUGGAUUUGGGGACUAUGAAAAUAGCCCUGGUGGCAUAAGUGUGUGUCAGAGCUGUGUGUAAAUUGACUAUGUAAACAAUUUGGGAUUUUCAACACGUUUCUUAUAAAAAUAAGUGAUGCAGUCAGUCUCUCCUCAAUUCUUAGCCAAGAGAGACUGCCAUGCAUAGUAUUUAUAUCAGCCCUCUGAUUACAAUUAAGAGCAAAACACGCCGCUUUGUUCUAGGUUAAGAUUUGGGGGCCGCAAAUUCUUCUCUUAGUGCUUGGUCAAUUUCAUUAGGCACAAAAUGGAGUGGUUCUAUAUCUGAACUUACCCAAUAUAAAAAAUUAAAAAUUUUCACGUCGCAAAACAUUUUGCUACAGUGUGCCCUAAUGAGCAUAACCUUUGUUGCAGUCAUUUAGGCCAGGAUUCGAUCAGCGGUAACCUGUGUAAACUGACAAAUGUAAAAAAUGUUUAAAGCGUGUAGGAGGGUGAACUGUGAUAGAGCUGUCAAAUCAACAAGCGGCUCCUGCAUUGGAUGCACGAGUAAAAAUCCCAUGCAGCUGUGUUACAAGUUUGUACACUGAUUUUAACCUAUUACUUCUUUAAAAUGAAUUACAAGGUGUCAUUUCCAUAUAGCUUACAAUUUCUUGUUCUGAACUUCUGUGGUUUGUGACAAUGACCACCAGAGCUCACAGAUUUGACAGCUCUAACACAGUUACACCACCAACACAGUUACACCACAGAAAAAGCUUAUUGGUGGUUCCACACUUCUUCCAUUUAAGGAUGGAGACCACUGUGUUCUUGGGGACCUUCAAUGCUGCAGACAUGUUUUUGUACCCUUCCCCAGAACUGUGCACAAUCCUGCCUUGGCAUUCUAGUCAAUUCCUUCAACCUCCUGGCUUGGUUAUUACUCUGAUAUGCACUGUCAACUGUGACACCUUUAUAUAGACAGGUGUGUGCCUUUCUAAAUCAUGUCCAAUCAAUUGAAUUUACAACAGGUGGACUCCGAUCAAGUUGUAGAAACAUCUCAAGGAUGAUCAAUGGAAACAGGAUGCACCUGAGCUCAAUUUCAAUUCUCAUAGCAAAGGGUCUGAAUACUUAUGUAAAUCAGGUAUUUCUGUAAUAAAUUUGCACGAAAAAAAAAAGAAAACAUUUUUGCUUUGUCAUUAUGGGGAAUUUUGUGUAGAUUGAUGACAGUUUUUAUUUAAU